RNAcentral lists this unclassified non-coding RNA (1974 nucleotides) under Melitaea cinxia (Glanville fritillary). RNAcentral's name for it is "misc RNA ENSMCXG00005018621.1". Lineage: Eukaryota; Metazoa; Arthropoda; Insecta; Lepidoptera; Nymphalidae. The record is from RNAcentral.
AUAAAUAAAAAAUAAUUUUAGGUCACAAUGAAAUAACCUUUGCCGAGAACAAGAUUUAUUAAUUUUACAUUUGUUGGCUCAACAAUUAUAACUUUUCUUGUCGAUUGGAAACUUUAGCCAAAUGUUGCACUAUGUUGUCCAGCAAACAGUGAAUGAAGACGUUUUAUUUGUGAAAUUGCUCCUCUAAUUGUAAAAGGUGGGAGCUAUGCAAAUCUUAUCCAGAACUGCCAUUUAGAAAAAUAAUAAAUUUCAAUAUACAGUUAUAAUCUUCAUGAAUUUAAGCAAUUAUGCAAAAUACAGAAUUUUAUUCUAUGAAUACGUAAAUCUAACAGUCUAUAUAAAUAAAAAUGAAUGUUGCUAAGCGCAUAACUCGAGAAUUGCUCAACCAAUUCGGUUAAUUUAUUUUUUGUAUGAUUUGGCCCAUAGAAGGUAUUAAAACUAAAAAUAAAAAAGGUAAAAAAUAUAUAUUUUUACUAUCAACUUUUGACCGAACGAAGUAUGUCCAGGCAGCGAGUUUUAAAUAAAAACUGCAUAAGAUUUUGGUUAUAAAAAAAUUAUUUACAUUACUUCUCAGAUUAAAAAAAUAUCACUGAUCAAAUCAAUGAAUCAAAUAGCACACCAGUCUGACUUAAGAUUCAUUGAAAGAAUCUCAAAAUUUCAUUUGUUGGGGUGUGAGUUGUAGUAGUAGUAUUUUCCGUAGGAGUACUAGUAUUUGUUGUAGUUGGGGCUGGCGUAGUAGUAGUAGUAUUUGUUGUAGUUGGGGCUGGCGUUGAAGUAGUAGUAUUUGCUGUCGUAGGAGUAUUUGUUGUAGUUGGGGCUAGCGUUGUAGUAGUAAUAUUUGCUGUAGUAGUAGUAUUUGUUGUAGUUGGGGCUGGCGUUGUAGUAGUAGUAGUAUUUGUUGUAGUUGGGGCUGGCGUUGUAGUAGUAGUAGUAUUUGUUGUAGUUGGGGCUGGCGUUGUAGUAGUAGUAUUUGCUGUCGUAGGAGUAUUUGUUGUAGUUGGGGCUAGCGUUGUAGUAGUAAUAUUUGUUGUCGUAGUAGUAUUUGUUGUAGUUGGGGCUGGCGUUGUAGUAGUAGUAGUAUUUGUUGUAGUUGGGGCUGGCGUUGUAGUAGUAGUAUUUGCUGUCGUAGGAGUAUUUGUUGUAGUUGGGGCUAGCGUUGUAGUAGUAAUAUUUGCUGUCGUAGUAGUAUUUGUUGUAGUUGGGGCUUGCGUUGUAGUAGUAGCAGUAUUUGUUGUAGUUGGGGCUGGCGUUGUAGUAGUAGUAUUUGCUGUCGUAGGAGUAUUUGUUGUAGUUGGGGCUAGCGUUGUAGUAGUAGUAUUUACUGUAGUAGUAGUAUUUGUUGUAGUUGGGGCUGGCGUUGUAGUAGUAGUAGUAUUUGUUGUAGUUGGGGCUGGCGUUGUAGUAGUAAUAUUUGCUGUCGUAGUAGUAUUUGUUGUAGUUGGGGCUGGCGUUGUAGUAGUAGUAGUAUUUGUUGUAGUUGGGGCUGGCGUUGUAGUAGUAGUAGUGUUUGUUUUAGUUGGAGCUGGCGUUGUAGUUGUAAUAUUUGCUGUCGUAGUAGUAUUUGUUGUAGUUGGGGCUGGCGUUGUAGUAGUAGUAUUUGCUGUCGUAGGAGUAUUUGUUGUAGUUGGGGCUAGCGUUGUAGUAGUAAUAUUUGCUGUCGUAGUAGUAUUUGUUGUAGUUGGGGCUUGCGUUGUAGUAGUAGCAGUAUUUGUUGUAGUUGGGGCUGGCGUUGUAGUAGUAGUAUUUGCUGUCGUAGGAGUAUUUGUUGUAGUUGGGGCUAGCGUUGUAGUAGUAGUAUUUACUGUAGUAGUAGUAUUUGUUGUAGUUGGGGCUGGCGUUGUAGUAGUAGUAGUAUUUGUUGUAGUUGGGGCUGGCGUUGUAGUAGUCCUAGUAGUAGAAGUUGGGGCACUUGUUGUUGUUUCUGGUGAUACUCCGGGUAAAGUACAUUGAGCUGAUGCAGAAUGUACGCACACC